CCGCGUGAGGGAGGAAGGCCUUAGGGUUGUAAACCUCUUUUCUCUGGGAAGAAGAUCUGACGGUACCAGAGGAAUAAGCCUCGGCUAAUUCCGUGCCAGCAGCCGCGGUAAGACGGAGGAGGCAAGCGUUAUCCGGAAUUAUUGGGCGUAAAGCGUCCGCAGGCGGCCUAUUAAGUCUGUUGUUAAAACCCGCAGCUCAACUCCGUAUUGGCAAUGGAAACUGGUGAGCUUGAGUGUGGUAGGGGCAGAGGGAAUUCCCGGUGUAGCGGUGAAAUGCGUAGUUAUCGGGAAGAACACCAGUGGCGAAGGCGCUCUACUGGGCCACAACUGACGCUCAUGGACG
Molecule: ribosomal RNA, 343 nt
Filed under: Leptolyngbya sp. KUAC 3104
Lineage: Bacteria; Bacillati; Cyanobacteriota; Cyanophyceae; Leptolyngbyales; Leptolyngbyaceae
Description: bacterial SSU rRNA
Rfam family: Bacterial small subunit ribosomal RNA
Source: RNAcentral